UAUCACAGUUUACUUGCUGUCGC
This 23-nucleotide microRNA is filed under the name Caenorhabditis briggsae. RNAcentral's name for it is "cbr-miR-43". Its record names the gene cbr-miR-43. Lineage: Eukaryota; Metazoa; Nematoda; Chromadorea; Rhabditida; Rhabditidae. The record is from miRBase by way of RNAcentral. RNAcentral also lists the same sequence under 3 other names.